UGGGGUAUAUUGCACAAUGGAGGGAACUCUGAUGCAGCGACGCCGCGUGAACGAGGAAUGCGUUCGAGUCGUAAAGUUCGCUUAUAUGGGAAGAUAAUGACGGUACCAUAAGAAAAAGCCCCGUCUAACUACGUGCAAGCAGCCGCGGUAAUACGUAGGGGGCGAGCGUUGUCCGGAAGCACUGGGCGUAAAGGGUUCGCAGGCGGAAGUGAAAGUUAGGUGUAAAAGGAAGUAGCUUAACUACUGUAAGCAUUUGAAACUGCAUGUCUUGAAGAGAGUAGAGGUAAGUGGAGUUUUUAGUGUAGCGGUGAAAUGCGUAGAUGUUAAAAAGAAUACCAGUGGCGAAGACGACUUACUGGGCUCAUUCUGACGCUGAGGAACGAAAGCGUGGGUAGCAAACAGG
Molecule: ribosomal RNA, 403 nt
Filed under: bacterium
Lineage: Bacteria
Description: partial 16S ribosomal RNA
Rfam family: Bacterial small subunit ribosomal RNA
Source: RNAcentral